ACUUAUUUGAAUGUCAAAAUAAGUUAUUAUAUAUACAUAUAUAGUCCGUUUACUAUAUUUUUAUGAGUAUUAUUGGUUUCGUAUUCAUAAGUUGUUUUUUAUGAUAAAGCUUUUGAAUUGACGAUUCAUAUUGUUAAACAUUAUUUAAAGCAUUUAAAAUUUUAAAAUUCAAAUUUUAUAAUUUUUUAACAUCAUUUACCUUAUGAUAAAAAAAUCUCAAAAUUAAUAAUUUUUAACGACUGAUAUGAGAUACUUGCUAGUUUAAUGGUGUAAAAGAAUCGAAAUUGAUUGAAUUUUUAUAGAAAAUUCUAUUCAGUAUCUAGAUAAAGAUCAAUAACUCCAAUCUUAAAUUGAAAUAUCCGGUUAUCCAUUUUUAAGAUAUCGUUCAAUUUUGACUGUUCAUUUUAUGUCCGUUUGAUGGAUUUUAUUCUGAUUUUGAAAAAUUACGAAAUUUAUUUUUUAAAAGUUUUAAAUACUCUAGAUCAUAUUUAACAGAAUGGAUCGUUGAUUCAAAAACUCUAUCAUUCAAAAAUAACUUAUGAAUACGAAGGGCUAUAUACUCAUGAUAAGAGUAUAGUAGCCCUACUCUCUCUCUCUCUCUCUCUCUCUCUCUCUCUCUCUAUAUAUAUAUAUAUAUAUAUAUAUAUAGUGUUUGUAGGUGGAAUAGUGUUUGAUCCAAGGGGUAUUAGUAAUUAUGGAGUGGAUCCAAAGGUUAAAAACUUAGAAGCAUCAAGUGGAUGGUGCUUCUAAAAGUAUCAUAGCUCAACUCUAGUGGAGCUAGAAUACUCCCAAAAGCACGAAAUGGGUGGUGCUUUAGAAUUUUUAGCCCUUGGAUGGAGAGAUGUGAGGUUGAGAUGAUGGUGGUAGGUGGUGGUAGGUGAUGGUAGGUGGAAUAGUGGUGGUAGAUGGUGGUAGGUGGUGGUAGGUGGAAUAGUGUUUGAUCCAAGAGAUAUUAGUAAUUAUGGAGUGGAUCCAAAGGUUAGAAACUUAGAAGCACCAAGUGGAUGGUGCUUCUAAAAGUAUCAUAGCUCAACUCUCUCUCUCUCUCUCUCUCUCUCUCUCUCUCUCGCUCUAUAUAUAUAUAUAUAUAUAUAUAUAUAACUAGGCUGGAAUACUAUCAAUAGCACCAAUGACUUGGUGCUAUUAGGUUUUCUGCCCUUGGAUUAAAAGAUGUGUGGUUAGGAUAAUGUGGGGCCCCUAGGGUUGAGUGAGUGGUUAGUUGAAUAGUAUAAUAGAACUUGGUGCUAUUAGGUUUUCUGCCAUUGGAUUAAAAGAUGUGUGGUUAGGAUAAUGUGGGGCCCCUAGGGUUGAGUGAGUGGUUAGUUGAAUAGUAUAAUAGAACUUGGUGCUAUUAGGUUUUCUGCCAUUGGAUUAAAAGAUGUGUGGUUAGGAUAAUGUGGGGCCCCUAGGGUUGAGUGAGUGGUUAGUUGAAUAGUAUAAUAGAACUUGGUGCUAUUAGGUUUUCUGCCAUUGGAUUAAAAGAUGUGUGGUUAGGAUAAUGUGGGGCCCCUAGGGUUGAGUGGGUGGUUAGUUGAAUAGUAUAAUAGAACGGUUAAAAAUGAUAAAAGAGGUAAAUCUAAUGGCAUAAAAUUUGAUAGCACCAAAUACUUCGUGCUAUCGAUAGUAUCCCAACCGGACUGUCUCUCUCUCUCUCUCUCUCUCUCUCUCUAUAUAUAUAUAUAUAUAUAUAUAGGGGUGGCAAUCCAGCUCGCUGUUCGCGAGCCAGCUCGUGUUCGGCUCGAAAUGAGCUCGAGAUCGGCUCGCUCGUUUAGUAAAUGAGCCGAACACG
Molecule: long non-coding RNA, 1789 nt
Filed under: Ananas comosus (pineapple)
Lineage: Eukaryota; Viridiplantae; Streptophyta; Magnoliopsida; Poales; Bromeliaceae
Description: long non-coding RNA (ACOM_LNC030630)
Source: RNAcentral